GCGCCUGUGGGAAAGUGGUUUAAUCCGUCUCCCUGUCACGGAGAAGAUCGCCGGUUCGAAUCCGGUCAGGCGCGCCA
RNAcentral lists this transfer RNA (77 nucleotides) under Candidatus Nomurabacteria bacterium. RNAcentral's name for it is "tRNA-Asp". It matches the Rfam family "tRNA". Rfam says of the family: Transfer RNA (tRNA) molecules are approximately 80 nucleotides in length. Their secondary structure includes four short double-helical elements and three loops (D, anti-codon, and T loops). Further hydrogen bonds mediate the characteristic L-shaped molecular structure. tRNAs have two regions of fundamental functional importance: the anti-codon, which is responsible for specific mRNA codon recognition, and the 3' end, to which the tRNAs corresponding amino acid is attached (by aminoacyl-tRNA synthetases). tRNAs cope with the degeneracy of the genetic code in two manners: having more than one tRNA (with a specific anti-codon) for a particular amino acid; and 'wobble' base-pairing, i.e. permitting non-standard base-pairing at the 3rd anti-codon position. The record is from RNAcentral. Lineage: Bacteria; Candidatus Nomuraibacteriota.